CCUGGGGAGUGCGUUCGCAAGGUUGAAACUCAAAGGAAUUGACGGGGGCCCGCACAAGCGGUGGAGCAUGUGGUUUAAUUCGAAGCAACGCGAAGAACCUUACCAGGUCUUGACAUCUUCUGACAAUCCUAGAGAUAGGACUUUCCCUUCGGGGACAGAAUGACAGGUGGUGCAUGGUUGUCGUCAGCUCGUGUCGUGAGAUGUUGGGUUAAGUCCCGCAACGAGCGCAACCCUUAUUGUUAGUUGCCAGCAUUAAGUUGGGUACUCUAGCAAGACUGCCGGUGACAAACCGGAGGAAGGCG
RNAcentral lists this ribosomal RNA (302 nucleotides) under uncultured bacterium. RNAcentral's name for it is "bacterial SSU rRNA". It matches the Rfam family "Bacterial small subunit ribosomal RNA", at positions 872 to 1175 of the family's 1533-position model. The record is from RNAcentral.